CCAAUAGCGUAUAUUAAAGUUGUUGCAGUUAAAAAGCUCGUAGUUGAACUUCGGGGUUCACCCAUUGGUCAGGCUUAAUUGUCUGUACUGGUGAGAUGAGUCUCUACCUUCUGAGGAACUUUCAUGCCAUUUAUUUGGUGUGGUUGGAAAUCAGGACUGUUACUUUGAAAAAAUUAGAGUGUUUAAAGCAGGCUAACGUCUGAAUACAUUAGCAUGGAAU
This 220-nucleotide ribosomal RNA is filed under the name uncultured Diversispora. Its description in RNAcentral is "partial small subunit ribosomal RNA". It matches the Rfam family "Eukaryotic small subunit ribosomal RNA", at positions 591 to 815 of the family's 1831-position model. Lineage: Eukaryota; Fungi; Glomeromycota; Glomeromycetes; Diversisporales; Diversisporaceae. The record is from RNAcentral.